This 183-nucleotide unclassified non-coding RNA is filed under the name Oehlia diaphana. Its description in RNAcentral is "partial internal transcribed spacer region". The stretch from base 1 to 46 matches the Rfam family "Eukaryotic small subunit ribosomal RNA", at positions 1786 to 1831 of the family's 1831-position model. The record is from RNAcentral. Lineage: Eukaryota; Fungi; Glomeromycota; Glomeromycetes; Glomerales; Glomeraceae. RNAcentral also lists the same sequence under 1 other name.
AAGUCGUAACAAGGUUUCCGUAGGUGAACCUGCGGAAGGAUCAUUAAUGAUUUUAGCUAACCAUGGCUAUUUUAGCCAUGGUUAUGCGAAAUUUUGUAUUUAAAACCCCACUCUUAUAAUAAAAAUUUUAUUAUAUUUAUGAUAAAAAUAAGAUCACUUUCAACAACGGAUCUCUUGGUUCUC